CACCGCGGUUAUACGAGAGACCCAAGUUGACAGACAAUCGGCGUAAAGAGUGGUUAAGUACUAAAUCUUACUAAAGCCAAACACCUUCAAAGCUGUUAUACGCACCCGAAGGUUAGAAGCCCAAUCACGAAAGUGGCUUUAAACUAACUGAACCCACGAAAGCUAGGGCA
This 170-nucleotide ribosomal RNA is filed under the name Acanthurus nigricans (whitecheek surgeonfish). Its description in RNAcentral is "partial small subunit ribosomal RNA". The record is from RNAcentral. RNAcentral also lists the same sequence under 1 other name. Lineage: Eukaryota; Metazoa; Chordata; Actinopteri; Acanthuriformes; Acanthuridae.